AUUCUUUGUGAGGAUCAAUCCAGAUGUUGGUACCAAAUGCACAGCCAAAGUCGGUACAAGCCGCAAGACGGGAAGUCUUGUCAAGAGGAAAGUAGUCAGUGUCAACUUCCAGAUCACCACCUUCUUCCAACAACUUGCUGAAUUUGAAUGGAAGACUUCCAACUAGUUCAGCUUCCACAAGAUGGAUCCCACUGAUUUUGUUUGACGAAUGGAAUAAAAGUUCUUCUGAUG
This is a long non-coding RNA of Xiphophorus couchianus (Monterrey platyfish), 231 nucleotides long. RefSeq lists it as uncharacterized. NCBI's taxonomy places the organism in Eukaryota, Metazoa, Chordata, Actinopteri, Cyprinodontiformes, Poeciliidae. The transcript has 2 exons. The record is from RefSeq and is a predicted model, not a curated record.